Molecule: ribosomal RNA, 253 nt
Filed under: uncultured bacterium
Lineage: Bacteria
Description: partial 16S ribosomal RNA
Rfam family: Bacterial small subunit ribosomal RNA
Source: RNAcentral
UACGGAGGGGGCUAGCGUUGUUCGGAAUUACUGGGCGUAAAGCGCGCGUAGGCGGACCUGCAAGUCGGGGGUGAAAGCCCGAGGCUCAACCUCGGAACUGCCUUCGAUACUGCGGGUCUCGAGUCCGGGAGAGGUGAGUGGAAUUCCUAGUGUAGAGGUGAAAUUCGUAGAUAUUAGGAAGAGCACCAGUGGCGAAGGCGGCUCACUGGCUCGGUACUGACGCUGAGGCGCGAAAGCGUGGGGAGCAAACAGG